Molecule: ribosomal RNA, 301 nt
Filed under: uncultured bacterium
Lineage: Bacteria
Description: partial 16S ribosomal RNA
Rfam family: Bacterial small subunit ribosomal RNA
Source: RNAcentral
CAGCAGCCGCGGUAAUACGAAGGGGGCUAGCGUUGUUCGGAAUUACUGGGCGUAAAGCGCACGUAGGCGGACAUUUAAGUCAGGGGUGAAAUCCCGGGGCUCAACCCCGGAACUGCCUUUGAUACUGGGUGUCUAGAGUAUGGAAGAGGUGAGUGGAAUUCCGAGUGUAGAGGUGAAAUUCGUAGAUAUUCGGAGGAACACCAGUGGCGAAGGCGGCUCACUGGUCCAUUACUGACGCUGAGGUGCGAAAGCGUGGGGAGCAAACAGGAUUAGAUACCCCUGUAGUCCCUGUCUCUUAUAC